GACGAACGCUGGCGGCGUGCUUAACACAUGCAAGUCGAACGGAAAGGCCCUGCUUUUGUGGGGUGCUCGAGUGGCGAACGGGUGAGUAACACGUGAGUAACCUGCCCUUGACUUUGGGAUAACUUCAGGAAACUGGGGCUAAUACCGGAUAGGAGCUCCUGCUGCAUGGUGGGGGUUGGAAAGUUUCGGCGGUUGGGGAUGGACCCGCGGCUUAUCAGCCUGUUGGUGGGGUAGUGGCUUACCAAGGCUUUGACGGGUAGCCGGCCUGAGAGGGUGACCGGCCACAUUGGGACUGAGAUACGGCCCAGACUCCUACGGGAGGCAGCAGUGGCGAAUAUUGCACAAUGGGCGGAAGCCUGAUGCAGCAACGCCGCGUGCGGGAUAACGGCCUUCGGGUUGUAAGCCGCUUUCGCCUGUGACGAAGCGUGAGUGACGGUAAUGGGUAAAGAAGCACCGGCUAACUACGUG
RNAcentral lists this ribosomal RNA (468 nucleotides) under uncultured bacterium. Its description in RNAcentral is "partial 16S ribosomal RNA". It matches the Rfam family "Bacterial small subunit ribosomal RNA", at positions 28 to 507 of the family's 1533-position model. The record is from RNAcentral.